This 253-nucleotide ribosomal RNA is filed under the name uncultured bacterium. RNAcentral describes it as "partial 16S ribosomal RNA". It matches the Rfam family "Bacterial small subunit ribosomal RNA", at positions 524 to 776 of the family's 1533-position model. The record is from RNAcentral.
UACGAAGGGAGCUAGCGUUGUUCGGAAUCACUGGGCGUAAAGCGCACGUAGGCGGAUGUGUCAGUCAGGGGUGAAAUCCCGGAGCUCAACUUCGGAACUGCCUUUGAUACAGCACGUCUUGAGUCCGGAAGAGGUGGGUGGAAUUCCUAGUGUAGAGGUGAAAUUCGUAGAUAUUAGGAAGAACACCGGUGGCGAAGGCGGCCCACUGGGCCGAUACUGACGCUGAGGAGCGAAAGCGUGGGGAGCAAACAGG